UUAAUUGUUUCUAUUCAGAUUACAUAAAUCCUUCACCUUUUCCUAAAGAUUUUUGUAGAGAGGAACAAUUCUGAGUUUCAAAUCAAUUUUUUUAGAUCUUGAACUCACAUGGUC
Molecule: small nuclear RNA, 114 nt
Organism: Sorex fumeus (smoky shrew)
Lineage: Eukaryota; Metazoa; Chordata; Mammalia; Eulipotyphla; Soricidae
Product: U5 spliceosomal RNA
Exons: 1
Source: RefSeq, a predicted model, not a curated record